UACGUAGGGACCAAGCGUUGUUCGGAUUUACUGGGCGUAAAGGGCGCGUAGGCGGCAAUUCAAGUCAGCUGUGAAAUCUCCGAGCUUAACUCGGAACGGUCAGCUGAUACUGCUUUGCUAGAGUACAGAAGGGGCAAUCGGAAUUCUUGGUGUAGCGGUGAAAUGCGUAGAUAUCAAGAGGAACACCUGAGGUGAAGACGGGUUGCUGGGCUGAUACUGACGCUGAGGCGCGAAAGCUAGGGGUAGCAAACGGG
This 254-nucleotide ribosomal RNA is filed under the name uncultured bacterium. RNAcentral describes it as "partial 16S ribosomal RNA". It matches the Rfam family "Bacterial small subunit ribosomal RNA", at positions 524 to 776 of the family's 1533-position model. The record is from RNAcentral.